Molecule: ribosomal RNA, 262 nt
Filed under: uncultured bacterium
Lineage: Bacteria
Description: partial 16S ribosomal RNA
Rfam family: Bacterial small subunit ribosomal RNA
Source: RNAcentral
GUCCACGCCCUAACGAUGUCUACUAGUUGUUGGUGGAGUAAAUCCAUGAGUAACGCAGCUAACGCGUGAAGUAGACCGCCUGGGGAGUACGGUCGCAAGAUUAAACUCAAAUGAAUUGACGGGGGCCGCACAAGCGGUGGAUUAUGUGGAUUAAUUCGAUGCAACGCGAAAACCUUAACCUGGCCUUGACAUGUAACGAACUUUCCAGAGAUGGAUUGGUGCUCGAAAGAGAACGUUAACACAGGUGCUGCAUGGCUGUCGU